GACAGAGGGUGCAAACGUUGUUCGGAUUUACUGGGCGUAAAGCGCGUGUAGGCGGCUUGGCAAGUCGGAUGUGAAAGCCCACGGCUCAACCGUGGAAGCGCACCCGAAACGGCCUCGCUCGAGUCUCGGAGAGGAAGGUGGAAUGCUUGGUGUAGAGGUGAAAUUCGUAGAUAUCAAGCGGAACACCGGUGGCGAAGGCGGCCUUCUGGACGAUGACUGACGCUGAAGCGCGAAAGCGUGGGGAGCAAACAGG
RNAcentral lists this ribosomal RNA (253 nucleotides) under uncultured bacterium. RNAcentral's name for it is "partial 16S ribosomal RNA". It matches the Rfam family "Bacterial small subunit ribosomal RNA", at positions 524 to 776 of the family's 1533-position model. The record is from RNAcentral.